RNAcentral lists this ribosomal RNA (132 nucleotides) under uncultured Hannaella. Its description in RNAcentral is "partial small subunit ribosomal RNA". It matches the Rfam family "Eukaryotic small subunit ribosomal RNA", at positions 1675 to 1804 of the family's 1831-position model. Lineage: Eukaryota; Fungi; Basidiomycota; Tremellomycetes; Tremellales; Bulleribasidiaceae. The record is from RNAcentral.
GUCGCUACUACCGAUUGAAUGGCUCAGUGAGGCCUUCGGACUGGCUCAGGGAGGUCGGCAACGACCACCCAGAGCCGGAAAGUUGGUCAAACUCGGUCAUUUAGAGGAAGUAAAAGUCGUAACAAGGUCUCU